UACGUAGGCAGCAAGCGUUGUUCGGAGUUACUGGGCGUAAAGAGUGCGUAGGCGGUCCUGUAAGUUUGGUGUGAAAUCUCCCGGCUCAACUGGGAGGGUGCGCCGAAGACUGCAGGGCUUGAGUAUGGGAGAGGUAAGCGGAAUUCCUGGUGUAGCGGUGAAAUGCGUAGAUAUCAGGAGGAACACCUGUGGCGAAGGCGGGUCUCUGGGCCGAUACUGACGCUGAGGAGCGAAAGCGUGGGGAGCAAACAGG
RNAcentral lists this ribosomal RNA (253 nucleotides) under uncultured bacterium. RNAcentral describes it as "partial 16S ribosomal RNA". It matches the Rfam family "Bacterial small subunit ribosomal RNA", at positions 524 to 776 of the family's 1533-position model. The record is from RNAcentral.